GGCAGGGAAGAGCCAUAGCUCAGUGGUAGAGCUUCCGCCUUGCAAGCAGAAGGUCUCAGGUUCAAUGGGACUGUGGUCUAAACCACUGAGCCUCUUGGACUUGCCA
Molecule: non-coding RNA, 106 nt
Organism: Podarcis lilfordi (Lilford's wall lizard)
Lineage: Eukaryota; Metazoa; Chordata; Lepidosauria; Squamata; Lacertidae
Source: the annotation of a GenBank genome assembly